AUGAGACCAGCCUCCUUGCCGACAAAACUAAAACGCGGCUCGUUCCCAACACGGUCGCUCCCCGGGCCCAGACGCAGCAACCGCAACGCCCACCGCCACCUCUCCAACUGCGCAGCCGCACACUCUCCGCGGCGCUCCGGCCCCCUCCCAUCUGCCGCAGUUAGGAAAGACCGAGAAGCGCGGGCGGAGCCGCCCCCGCCCUCCGCAGGGCCAGCCCAAAGGCGGCCUCGCGGGGGCGUCACAGCAGGUGGAAGCCGGAAUCUCGCGACGCUACCGCCGCGCCUGCGCCAACAGCAGCGGGCGGGCUCUCCGCGGCCACAAAAUGGCGGCGCAGAAGCAGCGGCAGAAUCAGCAGCAGCAGCAGAGCUGCGCGUGCCAAACUCCCUUCUCUCGCCUCCUCCCAGCAACUCCCCCGUUCUGGGGUCACUGGGGCCGCCCUCAAAAAGGCCCAACCGCAUCGCCAGCAAAGUCAGAACCGGCCCACUACUCGACGGGUCCGGGUAAUGAAGACGUUAAGCCUGGCAGGGAGGGGCGCGCAGCCGCCGUCAAAACGACCCCAACACUGACCGCCAUUCCAUCUCAAUACCCUUAAAACAGUAUGCCAAAAGGGAGACGUGCCCCAGCGCCCACCUCGAAUCAACUGUGCUCAUUAUAAACGCCGUCCUCCGCAAAGAAAGCAGCCCCGGGACACUCACGGUGCGAGCGGCCGUGAAGAAACCUCGAUCCGAGAAGGGCUGCCCUCAAAGUGGGCCACUCACCUUCCGGACGGGGUCUUUGGCGGCUGAGACCCAGACAGGUCCGUAGUCUGCGACGGAGUCGUCGGCCUCCACGCAAACCAGGACCUCACUCGUCUCCGUCUCUCCACAACUGACGCACUUAGCGGCUCUAGCGCUCCACAAAAUGGAGGGCGCGUCCUGCGUCACUUCCGGUGACGCCCCUGGGCCGUGGGUCCGCCUCCUUGGGACCCAGGGAAGACGGAAGUGUCGCGGGACCCUGACACUGCGAGCUGCUGACCUCGCCGCCCGCGGUGGGUGGAGCCAGGGGCGGGAACUCGCUUGGGUGCGGCCAGCAAGUCCCUGAGUCGGGAGGGACACCCGUUGAAGUGUUUCUCCGCUUCUAAAGCCUUGGAGUCCGGUUCGUCAUCAUCUCUCCCGGAAGACUCUCCUGAGAUAAAUUUCACCCCUUUUUGUAUCUAGUUUUUCGUAGAUACCCAGAAGAUUGCUAAUUAGGAGAGACUUAGCUUUGCAAAAAUACCUGGCCUUUCCUUACCGCACUGCUUGCAAUGUAAAUUUGCCCUCAAAGCAGGGGAGCUCCUAGAUGUUCGAGUUUUUGUUUGUUUUUUUUUUCAACCAUGCCACAGCUGUAUGGUUUAGUUGUACUGAGAAGACUAAGGAACUGAAGUAUUUUUUAAAUAAAAGGGUUUGAGUGAUGAAAUGUUGAAAACAGGAUUGCAGCUGGAAGGCUGUCUUGAAUUGAGGCUGUAAUACAGAUUUCUGCGUUUCCGUCACUCU
Non-coding RNA from Saimiri boliviensis boliviensis (Bolivian squirrel monkey), 1511 nucleotides. Lineage: Eukaryota; Metazoa; Chordata; Mammalia; Primates; Cebidae. The record is from RefSeq and is a predicted model, not a curated record.